Molecule: ribosomal RNA, 253 nt
Filed under: uncultured bacterium
Lineage: Bacteria
Description: partial 16S ribosomal RNA
Rfam family: Bacterial small subunit ribosomal RNA
Source: RNAcentral
UACAGAGGGUGCGAGCGUUAAUCGGAAUUACUGGGCGUAAAGCGUGCGUAGACGGUUAUUUAAGUCGGGUGUGAAAGCCCCGGGCUCAACCUGGGAAUUGCAUUCGAGACUGAAUAGCUAGGGUACGGUAGAGGGAAGUGGAAUUUCCGGUGUAGCGGUGAAAUGCGUAGAUAUCAUCAGGAACACCAGUGGCGAAGGCGGCUCACUGGGUCUUUCCUAACGCUGAGGCACGAAAGCUAGGGGAGCGAACGGG